UACGAAUUACACCUUCCUAAAAUGGGCUAGCGAUAUGUGAAUUAAGGGAGGAAUCAAUAGAGGCAACGACUUUAUGCUACGACGACCGAACUUGAAGAAAGUUGAGAAGAUCAAAACCAGUUGGCGUGACAAAGAAAAACCAAAAAUGAAUCCUCAAAUCUGGCACAAAGUUGCUGCUAUUUCUGGUGUAGCUGCUCUUGGGUUAGGAACUUAUGGAGCUCAUGUCUUCAAGCCCAAAAAUCCCACUUACAAAGAGGUGUGGAAUACUGCAUCACUGUACCAUUUGGUUCACACUGCUGCCCUUGUUUCUGCUCCUAUCACUAAACAUCCAAACAUUUUUGGAGGACUGCUAACUGGUGGAAUUAUCGCUUUCUCUGGAACGUGCUAUGCAGUUGCACUUCUCGAAGACAGGAAAUACUCAACCUUAGCUCCCUUCGGUGGCUUUGCGUUUAUUGCUGCUUGGGCAAGUUUAUUGUUUUAGGAGAAUGAAUGUCCAGACUUACCACAUCGAACUUGAAGUUACUAAACUUGAUUGAUACUGCAGAUUUAAUGAGCGCGUUGUGAAUCAGACUUGCGCGUGACACUUCCCUGUUUCACUUUCAAUCAACAGGAAUGAAACUGGUGGAAAUUUCCUGCUUUGAUAUUGAUUUAUAAUGGUGCAUGAGCCUGAGUUUUAUCUGUAUAGCAAGCGGAGUCACCCGGGUCAAUUAAGCCGAGACACUUGAGCGGAUAUUAUUGGAUUGAUGAGGUUAUGAUUUGGAUCGGGUUCCACCACAGAACAAUUGAUUAAUGAUCAUUAUUUAUAUAAUGAUCGACGCUUGGAUUAUGGAUUUGUCCCUCCGGAGUCAGGUAAUUACCCAUGUUACUUUGGGACUUGUGAGCGUAGCUGUGAGAUUUGUUGAGAAAAGGAUUCCGAGCUACUUUUGUUUAGAUUCAUGCUAUGAAUUGAACUAAGUAUUGUUGCCUGGUAUUAGUUUGACCCGUGGAUUGAGAUAACUAUGUAUUUUAUUUGAUUCUCGAAAGCAUGCCUAAAUUCCGUAUGAAUUGUAUUUUGCGCUUAA
Nicotiana tabacum (common tobacco) is the source of this 1061-nucleotide non-coding RNA. Lineage: Eukaryota; Viridiplantae; Streptophyta; Magnoliopsida; Solanales; Solanaceae. The record is from RefSeq and is a predicted model, not a curated record.